UUUGAUCAGAAGUGAGAAUGUUGACAUGAGUAGCGACAAACAGGGUGAGAGACCCUGUCGCCGAAAGUCCAAGGGUUCCUGCUUAAAGCUAAUCUGAGCAGGGUAAGCCGGCCCCUAAGGCGAGGCAGAAAUGCGUAGUCGAUGGGAACCACGUUAAUAUUCGUGGGCCAGAAGGAAGUGACGGAUCUCGAAGAUUGUUCGCCCUUAUCGGAUUGGGCGGGCCGUUUAGAGGUUCCUGGAAAUAGCCCUUCAUCAGACCGUACCCUAAACCGACACAGGUGGACUGGUAGAGAAUACCAAGGCGCUUGAGAGAACCACAUCAAAGGAACUCGGCAAAAUGCCUCCGUAAGUUCGCGAGAAGGAGGCCCCAUCUUUAGGCAACUAGAGGUGGGGGGCACAGACUAGGGGGUGGCGACUGUUUACUUAAAACACAGGGCUGUGCGAAGUCGCAAGACGACGUAUACAGUCUGACGCCUGCCCGGUGCUGGAAGGUUAAGAGGAGAGGUGCAAGCUUUGAAUUGAAGCCCCAGUAAACGGCGGCCGUAACAAUAACGGUCCUAAGGUAGCGAAAUUCCUUGUCGGGUAAGUUCCGACCUGCACGAAUGGCGUAACGAUCUCCCCGCUGUCUCUGAUGUGGACUCAGCGAAAUUGAACUGUGUGUCAAGAUGCACACUACCCGCGGUUAGACGGAAAGACCCCAUGCACCUUUACUAUAGCUUCGCACUGGCAUCAGGAUUGAGAUGUGCAGGAUAGGUGGUAGGCCUUGAAGCGGGAACGCCAGUUUCCGUGGAGCCUCCCUUGAGAUACCACCCUUCGCACUCUUGAUGUCUAACCGCGGUCCGUUAUCCGGAUCCGGGACCCUGCGUGGUGGGUAGUUUGACUGGGGCGGUCGCCUCCUAAAGAGUAACGGAGGCGCGCGAAGGUUGGCUCAGAGCGGUCGGAAAUCGCUCGUUGAGUGCAAUGGCAGAAGCCAGCCUGACUGCAAGUCUGACAAGACGAGCAGAGACGAAAGUCGGCCAUAGUGAUCCGGUGGUCCCAAGUGGGAGGGCCAUCGCUCAACGGAUAAAAGGUACGCUGGGGAUAACAGGCUGAUGAUGCCCAAGAGUCCAUAUCGACGGCAUCGUUUGGCACCUCGAUGUCGGCUCAUCUCAUCCUGGGGCUGGAGCAGGUCCCAAGGGUAUGGCUGUUCGCCAUUUAAAGAGGUACGUGAGCUGGGUUUAGAACGUCGUGAGACAGUUCGGUCCCUAUCUGCCGUGGGUGUAGGAGAUUUGAGAAGAGUUGCCCCUAGUACGAGAGGACCGGGGUGAACGAACCACUGGUGGACCAGUUAUCGUGCCAACGGUAGUGCUGGGUAGCUAUGUUCGGACAGGAUAACCGCUGAAGGCAUCUAAGCGGGAAGCCCCCUUCAAAACAAGAUCUCCCUUGAGAGCCGUGGAAGACCACCACGUCGAUAGGCCAGA
Molecule: ribosomal RNA, 1460 nt
Filed under: metagenome
Description: bacterial LSU rRNA
Rfam family: Bacterial large subunit ribosomal RNA
Source: RNAcentral